GACGAACGCUGGCGGCGUGCCUAAUACAUGCAAGUUGAGCGCUGAAGGUUGGUACUUGUACCGACUGGAUGAGCAGCGAACGGGUGAGUAACGCGUGGGGAAUCUGCCUUUGAGCGGGGGACAACAUUUGGAAACGAAUGCUAAUACCGCAUAAAAACUUUAAACACAAGUUUUAAGUUUGAAAGAUGCAAUUGCAUCACUCAAAGAUGAUCCCGCGUUGUAUUAGCUAGUUGGUGAGGUAAAGGCUCACCAAGGCGAUGAUACAUAGCCGACCUGAGAGGGUGAUCGGCCACAUUGGGACUGAGACACGGCCCAAACGCCUACAGGAGGCAGCAGUAGGGAAUCGUCGGCAAUGGACGAAAGUCUGACCGAGCAACGCCGCGUGAGUGAAGAAGGUUUUCGGAUCGUAAAACUCUGUUGGUAGAGAAGAACGUUGGUGAGAGUGGAAAGCUCAUCAAGUGACGGUAACUACCCAGAAAGGGACGGCUAACUACGUG
RNAcentral lists this ribosomal RNA (497 nucleotides) under uncultured bacterium. RNAcentral describes it as "partial 16S ribosomal RNA". It matches the Rfam family "Bacterial small subunit ribosomal RNA", at positions 28 to 507 of the family's 1533-position model. The record is from RNAcentral.